RNAcentral lists this ribosomal RNA (433 nucleotides) under uncultured bacterium. RNAcentral's name for it is "partial 16S ribosomal RNA". It matches the Rfam family "Bacterial small subunit ribosomal RNA", at positions 29 to 507 of the family's 1533-position model. The record is from RNAcentral.
AGCGAACGCUGGCGGCAGGCCUAACACAUGCAAGUCGAACGAACUCUUCGGAGUUGGUUGCGGACGGGUGAGUAACACGUCGGAACGUGCCUUUUUGUUCGGAAUAACUCAGGGAAACUUGUGCUAAUACCGAAUGUGUCCUUCGGGGGAAAGAUUUAUCGCCCUUAGAGCGGCCCGCGUCUGAUUAGCUCGUUGGGGAGGUAACGGCUCACCAAGGCGACGAUCAGUAGCUGGUCUGAGAGGAUGAGCAGCCACACUGCGACUGAGACACGGUCCAGACUCCUACGGGAGGCAGGAGUGGGGGAUCUUGCGCAAUGGGCGAAAUGAUGACGCAGCCAUGCCGGGUGAAUGCUGAAGGUCUUAGGAAAGAAAAAUUCUUUCACCGGGGACGAUAAUGACGGUACCCGGAGAAGAAGCCCCGGCUAACUUCGUG